RNAcentral lists this ribosomal RNA (229 nucleotides) under uncultured bacterium. RNAcentral's name for it is "partial 16S ribosomal RNA". It matches the Rfam family "Bacterial small subunit ribosomal RNA", at positions 568 to 796 of the family's 1533-position model. The record is from RNAcentral.
UCCGCAGGCGGGCAAUUAAGUCGGAGGUGAAAUCCCACAGCUCAACUGUGGAACUGCCUUUGAUACUGGUUGUCUUGAGUUAUAGUGAAGUAGAUAGAAUAUGUAGUGUAGCGGUGAAAUGCAUAGAUAUUACAUAGAAUACCGAUUGCGAAGGCAGUCUACUAACUGUAUACUGACGCUAAUGGACGAAAGCGUGGGGAGCGAACAGGAUUAGAUACCCUGGUAGUCC